RNAcentral lists this ribosomal RNA (254 nucleotides) under uncultured bacterium. Its description in RNAcentral is "partial 16S ribosomal RNA". It matches the Rfam family "Bacterial small subunit ribosomal RNA", at positions 524 to 777 of the family's 1533-position model. The record is from RNAcentral.
UACGUAGGGUGCGAGCGUUGUCCGGAAUUAUUGGGCGUAAAGAGCUCGUAGGCGGUCUGUUGCGUCCGCUGUGAAAACUCGGGGCUUAACCCCGAGCCUGCAGUGGAUACGGGCAGACUAGAGGUAGGUAGGGGAGAAUGGAAUUCCCGGUGUAGCGGUGAAAUGCGCAGAUAUCGGGAGGAACACCGGUGGCGAAGGCGGCAUCCUGGACCGGCAUUGACGCUGAGGCGCGAAAGCCAGGGGAGCAAAGCGGG